UACGGAGGGAGCUAGCGUUGUUCGGAAUUACUGGGCGUAAAGAGUACGUAGGCGGUUAUUCAAGUCAGAGGUGAAAGCCUGGAGCUCAACUCCAGAACUGCCUUUGAAACUAGAUAGCUAGAAUUAUGGAGAGGUUAGUGGAAUUCCGAGUGUAGAGGUGAAAUUCGUAGAUAUUCGGAAGAACACCAGUGGCGAAGGCGACUAACUGGACAUAUAUUGACGCUGAGGUACGAAAGCGUGGGGAGCAAACAGG
This 253-nucleotide ribosomal RNA is filed under the name uncultured bacterium. RNAcentral's name for it is "partial 16S ribosomal RNA". It matches the Rfam family "Bacterial small subunit ribosomal RNA", at positions 524 to 776 of the family's 1533-position model. The record is from RNAcentral.